RNAcentral lists this transfer RNA (87 nucleotides) under Desulfobulbaceae bacterium. Its description in RNAcentral is "tRNA-Leu". It matches the Rfam family "tRNA". From Rfam's summary of the family: Transfer RNA (tRNA) molecules are approximately 80 nucleotides in length. The record is from RNAcentral. Lineage: Bacteria; Pseudomonadati; Thermodesulfobacteriota; Desulfobulbia; Desulfobulbales; Desulfobulbaceae.
GCCUGGAUGGUGGAAUUGGUAGACACCCAGGACUUAAAAUCCUGUUGCCUUACGGCAGUGCGGGUUCGACCCCCGCUCCGGGCACCA